This 1204-nucleotide long non-coding RNA is filed under the name Pogona vitticeps (central bearded dragon). RNAcentral's name for it is "lncRNA (ENSPVIG00000001576.1)". Lineage: Eukaryota; Metazoa; Chordata; Lepidosauria; Squamata; Agamidae. The record is from RNAcentral.
AAAAAUAAACGACCGAGGCGGCCCUCAGGGCGACCUCUCGCUUUACUGUUUUCCCUUCGCUCUUCCUCCACCUAGCGACGCUGAGGCCACGCGACCAUCGCCGGUAAAAGAGAGAGAGAGAAAAAAAAGAGAGGUUACAAGAACGUGGAACUUAUCGGCUAGAAUGGGGACGGGACGCAACUUUUCUUUUUAAAAAAAAACAACUAAAACUGAGAUUUCCGUUGAAAGCCAAGCCGCCCGCCACACCGCCUCGCGCCAAGCCACGCGCCGACCCCCUGAGGCUGCUGGCGAAUGCCGUCCAAGCUGCCUCCAGGUUAUUUUAAAAGAUCCAAGCCCCACGACCAACAAGGGACGUGGCCAGGAGGAGGACGUGCUCGUUUCCCAUCCACUCAUCACUGAGCCUUCCACUAGGUAGGAACCUCGAAGUCCCGCCCCCUGGUAGGAUUGGUGUCGGGAGGGGAAAGAGAAGGGCUUGAAGCGCUGAUUGCCGGUAACGGAGGGAAGUGAGCUCCGCCUGGCUACGANNNNNNNNNNNNNNNNNNNNNNNNNNNNNNNNNNNNNNNNGCGUGUGUGUGAGCGCGCACGGCACGCGGCCGGCGCUAAAUCAAAAGGUAACGACCACCGAGAAGAGGCAGUUGGAGGAGGGGGGGUGGCGCGCGGAGAAGGCAAAAGGAGCUGCUUCCCUCCUCCUCCUCCUCCUCCUCCUCUCGCCCCCCCCUCGCCUUCCAGACCUGAAGAGCGGAGUUCUGAGGGGAAACAAAUACUGCAAUAAUCUUCGCGCCCAGCCACGCCGGUCUCAGAGGGUGCGAAGAGAUAGGCUAAGCCAGGGGGACCUUGUCAUAUGAAAGGCAGUGCACACCCUAGUCCUUUGUUUUUGGUAUUUGACUGUUGAUUGUUGAAGGAACUACACAUUGUUUCCUUUCAAAGUGCCUUUCCAUUCUUUUGUAAGUAUUUCUUGACAUGUUUGACUGCCACUUAAUAUCUGAGCACUUAAUUUCCACCAUCUCUCUCUCUGAACAUUAACUCCCCCCCCCCGUGAAAAUACACUGGUAGGUAGGAUGGAUGGAUAUUUGCAAAUUUCUCUUUGUUGCAAAUUAUCUUGGCAGUUAAUGUUUUCCAAACAGUAUAUACCAAAUGUCAGUUGUCAUUAUGUAUACAGUUGUCACUCUGGUUGCAAUAAACCAGGAAAAGUAUUGUUGCUGCA